RNAcentral lists this unclassified non-coding RNA (496 nucleotides) under Hevea brasiliensis (rubber tree). Lineage: Eukaryota; Viridiplantae; Streptophyta; Magnoliopsida; Malpighiales; Euphorbiaceae. The record is from RNAcentral.
UUAAUAAAAAGGAGAUGGAUGACUAAACUAUCUCAGAAAAGAAUAGCAAGCAACAACUACAUUAGCCUCAAAAGGCAAACACAAACAUGCCAUAAAUGAAUAUCUUAUAAAGAUAAAGAAAGGGCAGAGGAGUGGAAAGAGCCCGCUUCAACCAGUUUGCACUAAUGUCUAGUCGAGUUGCAGCUGUAGGCUGUAGACUGUAGUUGUAUAUAAAAGCCACUCAAAGAUAAUUUUCUUAUAAAAUCAUUAGAUUAUUGCUACCAUUACCAACUUGUUUCCCACUCCUUGUUCAAGCAAAUAUUUUCAAGAAAAAGUUCAACACUCAGAAAAAAAUAAUAACAAUAAAAGAAGUCUGAUAAUAACUCAAUUAUUUUAUUUUUCUCUCCUUUCAUCUUAUAUUGUAAUUGACUGGUACAUGAAUGAUCCAAUGGAUUCUUGGAUAGGACAUUAUAUUUGCAGGUAUGAUGAAUAUUUAACUGAAUAGUGAAUAAAUAAA